Molecule: ribosomal RNA, 403 nt
Filed under: Verrucomicrobiota bacterium
Lineage: Bacteria; Pseudomonadati; Verrucomicrobiota
Description: Verrucomicrobia bacterium partial 16S ribosomal RNA
Rfam family: Bacterial small subunit ribosomal RNA
Source: RNAcentral
UGGGGAAUAUUGCACAAUGGGGGAAACCCUGAUGCAGCGACGCCGCGUGAGCGAAGAAGGCUUUCGAGUCGUAAAGCUCUGUCCUAUGAGAAGAUAAUGUCGGUAUCAUAGGAGGAAGCCCUGGCUAAAUACGUGCCAGCAGCCGCGGUAAUACGUAUGGGGCGAGCGUUGUCCGGUAUUAUUGGGCGUAAAGGGUACGUAGGUGGUUUUUUAAGUCAGGUGUCAAAGCGUGGAGCUUAACUCCAUUAAGCACUUGAAACUGAAAGACUUGAGUGAAGGAGAGGAAAGUGGAAUUCCUAGUGUAGCGGUGAAAUGCGUAGAUAUUAGGAAGAAUACCGGUGGCGAAGGCGACUUACUGGACUUUUACUGAAGCUAAGGUACGAAAGCGUGGGGAGCAAAGAGG